Molecule: ribosomal RNA, 497 nt
Filed under: uncultured bacterium
Lineage: Bacteria
Description: partial 16S ribosomal RNA
Rfam family: Bacterial small subunit ribosomal RNA
Source: RNAcentral
GUCGAACGCUGGCGGCGUGCCUAAUACAUGCAAGUUGAGCGCUGAAGGUUGGUACUUGUACCAACUGGAUGAGCAGCGAACGGGUGAGUAACGCGUGGGGAAUCUGCCUUUGAGCGGGGGACAACAUUUGGAAACGAAUGCUAAUACCGCAUAAAAACUUUAAACACAAGUUUUAAGUUUGAAAGAUGCAAUUGCAUCACCCAAAGAUGAUCCCGCGUUGUAUUAGUUAGUUGGUGAGGUAAAGGCUCACCAAGGAGAUGAUACAUAGCCGACCUGAGAGGGUGAUCGGCCACAUUGGGACUGAGACACGGCCCAAACUCCUACGGGAGGCAGCAGUAGGGAAUCUUCGGCCAUGGACGGAAGUCUGACCGAGCAACGCCGCGUGAGUGGAGAAGGUUUUCGGAUCGUAAAACUCUGUUGGUAGAGAAGAACGUUGGUGAGAGUGGAAAGCUCAUCAAGUGACGGUAACUACCCAGAAAGGGACGGCUAACUACGUG